UUGUAAUUUGUAGAAGGUGCUUCGGGCGCGGCUACGAUCCAAGUCCCUUGGAACAGGGCGUCGCAGAGGGUGAGAAUCCCGUAUGCGAUCGACGGCCUAGCCCGGGUGAAGCCCUUUCGACGAGUCGAGUUGUUUGGGAAUGCAGCUCUAAAUGGGUGGUAAAUUUCAUCUAAAGCUAAAUAUCUGCCAGAGACCGAUAGCGCACAAGUAGAGUGAUCGAAAGAUGAAAAGCACUUUGAAAAGAGAGUCAAACAGUACGUGAAAUUGUUGAAAGGGAAGCGCUUGCAACCAGACUCGUUCGCGGAUGUUCAGCUGCUCUUUGGAGCAGUGUACUCUCCCGCCGCGGGCCAGCAUCAGUUUCGGCGACCGGAUAAAGGCCCCGGGAACGUAGCUUUGCUUCGGUGAGUGUUAUAGCCCGAGGUGCAAUGCGGCCAGCUGGGACUGAGGAACGCGCAUUGCUAGGAUGCUGGCGUAAUGGUUGCCAGCGACCCGUCUUGAAACACGGACCAAGGAGUCGACCAAUCGCGCGAGUGUUUGGGUAUCAAACCCGCACGCGUAAUGAAAGUAAACGUAGGUGGGAGCCUUUGGCGCACCAUCGACCGAUCUUGAUGUUUUCGGAUGGAUUUGAGUAUGAGCCCGAUUGGUCGGACCCGAACAGAUGUGAACUAUGCGUGAAUAGGGUGAAGUCAGGGGAAACCCUGAUGGAGGCUCGCAGCGGUUCUGACGUGCAAAUCGAUCGUCAAAUUUGCGCAUAGGGGCGAAAGACUAAUCGAACCGUCUAGUAGCUGGUUCCCGUCGAAGUUUCCCUCAGGAUAGCAGCAGCGAAAUUAGUCUCAUGAGGUAGAGCAAACGAUUAGAGGUCUUGGGGUUGAAAUGACCUUAACCUAUUCUCGAACUUCGAAUAUGUGAGAAGUCCUUGUUACUUAGUNGAA
This 932-nucleotide ribosomal RNA is filed under the name Ocellularia crocea. RNAcentral describes it as "eukaryotic LSU rRNA". It matches the Rfam family "Eukaryotic large subunit ribosomal RNA", at positions 143 to 1099 of the family's 3401-position model. The record is from RNAcentral. Lineage: Eukaryota; Fungi; Ascomycota; Lecanoromycetes; Ostropales; Graphidaceae.